RNAcentral lists this ribosomal RNA (253 nucleotides) under uncultured bacterium. Its description in RNAcentral is "partial 16S ribosomal RNA". It matches the Rfam family "Bacterial small subunit ribosomal RNA", at positions 524 to 776 of the family's 1533-position model. The record is from RNAcentral.
UACGUAGGUGACAAGCGUUAUCCGGAUUUAUUGGGCGUAAAGCGCACGCAGGCGGCUCUUCAAGUCUGACGUGAAAUCUCUCGGCUUAACCGGGCGCGGUCGUUGGAAACUGAAGGGCUUGAGGCGAUGAGAGGGGUGUGGAAUUCCCGGUGUAGUGGUGGAAUGCGUAGAUAUCGGGAGGAACAUCAGUGGCGAAAGCGGCACCCUGGCAUUAGCCUGACGCUCAUGUGCGAAAGCGUGGGGAGCGAACGGG